Molecule: long non-coding RNA, 931 nt
Organism: Zingiber officinale
Lineage: Eukaryota; Viridiplantae; Streptophyta; Magnoliopsida; Zingiberales; Zingiberaceae
Exons: 5
Source: RefSeq, a predicted model, not a curated record
UCGAACCUUUCUUCCCCCAAACCGUCGCGAUCCCAACCUCUCUUCUUCCCGAUCUCUCUCUGUUCUCUCUCGCGGGCAAGCGAUGGCGACGGGAGCAAGGCUACAGCUCCGGCGAUCCUUCUCCGCUGGCAUCGACGCCUAAUAAUCUCAGAUCCGGCUGGUGUUCUUUCCUCUCCUCACUGUUGCCGAUCAUUUCUCCAGCCCUAACCUCUCAGCCGAUGGCCGACCAUCGCUCUUCGCAUGAGGUCGGGUUAGCAGCGCCUGAGGUACACACGGUGCCCUAGUUGAGAUCUUGCAGUGGGUGCGAUUGAUUCCAAUCCGUGUCUCCUCAAGUUGGAUCGGAUUGGGCGACACCUCCUGGAGGCAACCGAUCGAGAGGUAUCCGGUUGGUGGACAGCAGCUGGAUUAGGGCAGUGAGGUGAGGUGCUGUUUUGGUGGAGUAUUUGCUUGAUUCCGGCCACCACAUCCCUGUCAACAAAUUGGCACAUCUGAGGCAAGUGAUUUUAUAGCUAGACCUAUUCUUGAUCCGAUCAGUAGGGAGGAAUCCAGGUUUAUUCUGUGGGUUCUUGAUCCAGCAAUUCAUCUUAUUGCUGGCAGCAAUAAUCCCUGCUGUGGAUCAACAACGAUCACGGUUGAAGUGAGGAGGAAGUUCUGUAGGGAGGUCUUGCUGUGCUAUUCUUUAAUCCAGUAGCUCAGUUUGGUUCUGGCAGCACCCCAACCAGCAGCUCCUCUUUGGCUGCGGAUCAAGAGCAGUGGUUGAAUUGAGGUUGAGGCCGUCGGGGAGAUUCCAGUCGCUAGCCCCUUUAUUGCGAGGAUUUUCCUAUUGUCGGGAUAUGUUUUUGUUUUUGGCAUCUUAUAUACUUGCGAUGUGGAACUUUUGUAUUGUGGACUUUAUGACGAACAUUUGGGUUUACUACUUUUGGUUUUCCGC